AAUUUGAUAAAAACAUAAAUCAAAGUUUAAUGUUGCCGUUUAAGGUAAAGACAUUUCCCAAAUAUGUUGAGGUAGUGAGGUUCUACAGGGUCGUCCUGAGAUCACAUGAAACAUAUUCACAAAACUCAGCUCAUGUGUUCUCAGGUCGCCCCUGCUGGACUUUUCUCUACUACGAUACAGAGUUGGCGUCCAACUGCAACCGAUUGAAGAUGCACUCACCAAAAACUGAAAACGGAGCAUGGGAAAAAGAAUGUAGAAUGAAAUUCCAGUUGUAUGCAUGAAUGCGGUGCAGUUGAAUUAUCAAGUUGCAGAAGGUCUAUUGUGGCAUCUCUCUUGGCACCUUGUGGGGUCAAUUUCCAAUUCUCUUCCUUUUCACAAACUUCAUCUUGUUCUUCGUCGUUAAUAAUGUCAACAUCGGGAAGACAACCAGAUGAUAAUUGAUUCUGUUUUUCAUUACUGAUAAUGUCAAGAACGGGAAGACGGCCGGAUGACCCAACAGCUCGGGGCAACAUUCCAAUUGGACACGGGUUCCAUGAUUUUGCUAAGGUCCAUGUCUGUGAUUUUUGAGAGUCACAAUCCACAGCCUUUGGUUUUUUAUUUUUCAUAACCUGAUGCUUGACUAACUCUAGCUUUUUAGUUGCUUCUUGUAUAGAUUCCUCGAAUUGGAAAAUGUUAUUUGAAGUUAAUAAAGAGUUUUGAUCAUCUGCAUGCUCUAAAUUGGACAAAUUAAUCUGAGAGAACUUUUGAGCUUUCUCCAUCAAGUAGUUAUCAUCCAUCAGUUCUGUAAGCUGAAGUGCUGAAUCCAUGAGCUGCUUGUUGAAAAGUUGUGAUAUUAGAAGACAUCUACGAAGAAGUUCAAGCAAAACUCCUUUUGGCAUAUUUGCUGCCUCAGAAGGAACUCUACUGAGAAUUCCGACAAGCCAUGCAAACAAAGAAGAAAGCCGAAAGUCUGUCCUUGAUUGUAAAAUGCCCAUAUUUGGGUUAUCUGCGAGUGUUUUAAAAAAAAAAUGGCACGAUUUGAGAUCAAUUGAAGAAACUAAGCCAGUUAAAGUCAA
This is a long non-coding RNA of Vigna unguiculata (cowpea), 1055 nucleotides long. The record is from RefSeq and is a predicted model, not a curated record. NCBI's taxonomy places the organism in Eukaryota, Viridiplantae, Streptophyta, Magnoliopsida, Fabales, Fabaceae.